RNAcentral lists this ribosomal RNA (468 nucleotides) under uncultured bacterium. Its description in RNAcentral is "partial 16S ribosomal RNA". It matches the Rfam family "Bacterial small subunit ribosomal RNA", at positions 28 to 507 of the family's 1533-position model. The record is from RNAcentral.
GACGAACGCUGGCGGCGUGCUUAACACAUGCAAGUCGAACGGAAAGGCUCCAGCUUGCUGGAGUACUCGAGUGGCGAACGGGAGAGUAACACGUGGGUGAUCUGCCCUGCACUUCGGGAUAAGCCUGGGAAACUGGGUCUAAUACCGGAUAGGACCGCACUUUGGUGUGUGUGGUGGAAAGGUUUUUCUGGUGUGGGAUGAGCUCGCGGCCUAUCAGUUUGUUGGUGGGGUAAUGGCCUACCAAGACGGCGACGGGUAGCCGGCCUGAGAGGGUGGACGGUCACAUUGGGACUGAGAUACGGCCCAGACUCCUACGGGAGGCAGCAGUGGGGAAUAUUGCACAAUGGGGGAAACCCUGAUGCAGCGACGCCGCGUGGGGGAUGAAGGCCUUCGGGUUGUAAACUCCUUUCGCUAGGGACGAAGCUUUUUGUGACGGUACCUGGAGAAGAAGCACCGGCUAACUACGUG